RNAcentral lists this small nuclear RNA (119 nucleotides) under Sorex araneus (European shrew). RNAcentral's name for it is "U4 spliceosomal RNA (ENSSARG00000017608.1)". It matches the Rfam family "U4 spliceosomal RNA". From Rfam's summary of the family: U4 small nuclear RNA (U4 snRNA) is a component of the major U2-dependent spliceosome. The structure of U4 snRNA from yeast and human has been reported. U4 snRNA presents a k-turn RNA motif in the 5p-SL related to recognition of Snu13 protein. The record is from RNAcentral. Lineage: Eukaryota; Metazoa; Chordata; Mammalia; Eulipotyphla; Soricidae.
AGCUUUGUGCAGUGGCAGUAUCAUAGCCAGUGAGGUUUAUCUGAGGCACAGUUAUUGUUAAUUUUUAAAAAUCUGUAACUCUCCGGCCCCAAUGGGCAGGUGAGCUGCCCUGAGGAGGA